Molecule: ribosomal RNA, 554 nt
Filed under: Streptomyces sp. 303E08
Lineage: Bacteria; Bacillati; Actinomycetota; Actinomycetes; Kitasatosporales; Streptomycetaceae
Description: bacterial SSU rRNA
Rfam family: Bacterial small subunit ribosomal RNA
Source: RNAcentral
UAGUGGCGAACGGGUGAGUAACACGUGGGCAAUCUGCCCUUCACUCUGGGACAAGCCCUGGAAACGGGGUCUAAUACCGGAUAACACCUGCCCGGGCAUCCGGGUGGGUUAAAAGCUCCGGCGGUGAAGGAUGAGCCCGCGGCCUAUCAGCUUGUUGGUGAGGUAGUGGCUCACCAAGGCGACGACGGGUAGCCGGCCUGAGAGGGCGACCGGCCACACUGGGACUGAGACACGGCCCAGACUCCUACGGGAGGCAGCAGUGGGGAAUAUUGCACAAUGGGCGAAAGCCUGAUGCAGCGACGCCGCGUGAGGGAUGACGGCCUUCGGGUUGUAAACCUCUUUCAGCAGGGAAGAAGCGAAAGUGACGGUACCUGCAGAAGAAGCGCCGGCUAACUACGUGCCAGCAGCCGCGGUAAUACGUAGGGCGCAAGCGUUGUCCGGAAUUAUUGGGCGUAAAGAGCUCGUAGGCGGCUUGUCACGUCGGGUGUGAAAGCCCGGGGCUUAACCCCGGGUCUGCAUUCGAUACGGGCUAGCUAGAGUGUGGUAGGGGAGAU